CAUUAAUUAAUCGCGAAAUGCGUGUGUGCCUUGUAAGUCUGCGGAGCUUCCACUCUGGACUCUGCAGCACUGGCCCUCGCCUCCUUUUGAUUACAUCCCAUCUGUGAACUUUUCCACUGUUGCUUCCGUGAGCCUGCUGUUCACGCUCUCUGAGAGUGAAUGCCUGAAAAGCCCUGGUCCUACCAGGGGCGCACGGCAAUGGUACUAGAACUCUGGUUUUAUGUCUUCCAAGUCUGAGUGAUAAAACACAUCAAACAAGUUAAAACUUUCAACAACGGAUCUCUUGGUUCUCGCAUCGAUGAAGAACGCAGCGAAAUGCGAUAAGUAGUGUGAAUUGCAGAAUUCAGUGAAUCAUCGAAUCUUUGAACGCACAUUGCGCCUCCUGGUAUUCCGGGAGGCAUGCCUGUUCGAGCGUCAUGAAAACAUCCUCAAGCAACCUUGCUUGGUCGUGGAGGAAGAUGGUCUAUAGACCCUCCCCUCUGGAAUUCCUCAGCAGAGACCGCAAUAACCUCAGGUGUGAUAACAUUACCUCGCUUGAAGGUUGUGGUGAGCUCUCGCUGUGCAGAACCCCCCAGCAUUUACCAUGUUUGAC
RNAcentral lists this ribosomal RNA (592 nucleotides) under Pezizales sp. T4N3a(C). Its description in RNAcentral is "eukaryotic LSU rRNA". The stretch from base 264 to 417 matches the Rfam family "5.8S ribosomal RNA". The record is from RNAcentral. Lineage: Eukaryota; Fungi; Ascomycota; Pezizomycetes; Pezizales.